CCUGAGGCUCAGGGCUUGGACUCUAAGACCACCAUUAUUUCCUUUCACCAAAGGGAGGAAAAUCUCUGUCUCUCUCUCUCUGUGUCUCUCUCUGUCUCUCUCUCUCUGUCUCUGUCUGUCUCUCUCUCUCUCUCUGUUUCUUCCUCUCUGUCUGUCUGUCUGUCUCUGUUUCUGUCUCUCUCUAUUGCUGUUUCUCUGUCUCUAUUUCUCUCUGUCUCUGUUUCUCUCUGUCUCUGUCUCUCUGUUUCUGUUUGUCUGUCUGUCUGUCUCUGUUUCUCUCUGUCUCUGUUUCUGUUUCUUUGUCUGUCUCUGUUUCUGUCUCUGUCUCUCCCUGUUUCUUUGUCUCUGUCUCUUCCAAUUUUCAUCAUUACCUCUAUCAUCUCUCUUUCUGUUUCUGUCUCUGUCUCUCUCUAUUUUUGUUUGUCUGCCUCUGUUUCUGUUUCUCUGUCUGUCUCUCUCUCUGUUUCUGACUGUCUGUUUCUCUGUCUGUCUCUGUCUCUGUUUCUUUGUCUGUUUCUCUGUUUCUCUCUGUCUCUCCCUGUUUCUUUGUCUCUGUCUCUUCCAAUCUUCAUCUUCAUCUCUAUCAUCUCUCUUUCUGUUUCUGUCUCUGUCUCUCUCUAUUGCUGUUUGUCUGUCUGUCUCUGUUUCUGUCUCUAUUUCUCUCUGUUUGUCUCUCUGUUUCUCUCUGUCUCUCUCUAUUUCUGUCUGUCUGUCUGUGUCUCUCUCUGUUUCUGUUUCUCUGUCUGUCUGUCUCUGUUUUUCUCUGUCUCUGUCUGUUUCUGUUUCUUUGUCUGUCUCUCUGUUUCUCUCUGUCUCUGUCUCUCUCUCUUUCUGUUUCUUUGUCUCUGUCUCUUCCAAUCAUCAUCAUCUCUAUCAUCUCUCUUUCUGUCUCUGUCUCUGUCUCUCUCUAUUUCUAUUUGUCUGUCUGUCUCUGUUUCAGUUUCUCUGUCUGUCUUUGUUUCUCUCUUUCCCUCUGUUUCUGUUUCUGUUUCUGUCUGUCUCUCUGUUUCUGUCUCUUUCUCUCUUUGUUUUUGUCUCUGUCUCUGUUUCUCUGUCUGUCUGUCUCUGACUCUCUGUUUCUGUUUCUCUGUCUGUCUGUUCGUCUCUGUUUCUCUCUCUCUCUGUUUCUGUUUCUCUGUCUGUCUCUGUCUCUCUUCCAAUCUUUGUCAUCAUCUCUAUCAUCUCUCUCUCUUACUCACUCUCUUUCUCUGUUUCUGUUUGUCUGUCUCCCUAUCUCUGUCUUUCCUCCAGCCCAUGUGAGUAGGAAAUGAAUCUUCUCCUCCAGGAUUUGGAGUUCCUGUAACUACAGAAACCUGCAUGCGCCACCGAGCAGGAGCCUGAGGGCAAAAGCCUUAAAAGACCUGAGAAAGCCCACUGGGUCCCCCCCCC
This 1389-nucleotide long non-coding RNA is filed under the name Monodelphis domestica (gray short-tailed opossum). RNAcentral's name for it is "lncRNA (ENSMODG00000045123.1)". Lineage: Eukaryota; Metazoa; Chordata; Mammalia; Didelphimorphia; Didelphidae. The record is from RNAcentral.